UAUAUAUAUAGAGUUGAGCUAGAAUACUCUCAGAAGCAACAAGAGAGUGGUGCUUUUAAGUUUUUAACCAUUAGAAGAAGAGAUGUAGGGUUGAGAUGAUAAUGGUAGGUGGUGGUAGGUGGUAGUAGGUGGAAUAGUAUUUGAUCCAAGAGGUAUUAGUAAUUAAGGAGUAGAUCCAAGGGCUAGAAACUUAGAAGCACCAAUGGGUUGAUGCUUCUAAAAGUAUUCUAGCUCAAUUAUAUAUA
This 245-nucleotide long non-coding RNA is filed under the name Ananas comosus (pineapple). RNAcentral's name for it is "long non-coding RNA (ACOM_LNC041395)". Lineage: Eukaryota; Viridiplantae; Streptophyta; Magnoliopsida; Poales; Bromeliaceae. The record is from RNAcentral.